Long non-coding RNA from Orcinus orca (killer whale), 721 nucleotides. RefSeq lists it as uncharacterized. The transcript is spliced from 3 exons. The record is from RefSeq and is a predicted model, not a curated record. NCBI's taxonomy places the organism in Eukaryota, Metazoa, Chordata, Mammalia, Artiodactyla, Delphinidae.
GGCUGCUGCGAGGCUCAGCAUUCUCACGGCUCUGCUUAAGAGGACAGGGAGGGGGGCUUCGCUAGGCCUUGGUGAGUCCUUCAGAAAUAACAGUAAUAAACAACCAGCUCCAACAACAGCGACUGUGUAUUGAGCACUUACUGCCUGCCAGAUCCUGUGCUAAGUCAAGACUGGCCUAACGGAACCUUCCAGAGCGCAGGCGAGGCUGGCACUGUUACUAACCCAUCUCACAGGUGAGCAAGAGGAUCCAGUGGUGAAGGCGGCUGCCCCAGGCUACACAGCUGGAAGCUGAGGCCAAACUCUGGAACCCACUGUACCUGCUCAUUCCAGAAUCCAGGCUUCUCAACUGACGCCAAAGAACACCCGCUGUUAGGUGAUGAGGACACUGAGAGCUGACAUGUGACCCAGGACUCAGAGCCAGGCUCAGGAAGUGAGCUGGGAAAUGCCAGCAGAGGUCCAAGAAGAAACAUGCUGCCCUCCCACUGUGGGGCUGCUUCUGCCCUCAGUGGCCAGGGACUCUGGCCAUUCCCAACCCCAGGGGUACACAGCAGCAGAAACUGGCAUGGGAAUAGGGAGAGGGGACCAUCUCCUCCAAUGCCCUCAUUUUAUACCAGGGGAAAUGGGUAUCGAAGAGAGGAAGAGACGUCUCAGUCCUCCACGUGGGCUUCUCCUAUGCACUCCCACCUCCUACUCCUCUUUAAAAGGGAUAUUUUAGAAGUUA